GUGAAUCAUCGAAUUUUUGAACGCAAAUUGCACUUUCUGGUAUUCCGGAAAGUAUGCCUGUUUGAGGGUCAGUUAAAUAAAAAUCGGUGUUGUUGCUGCCUUUCGUGGUGACGCGUCGGAAUUGAGUUGUCUUACCUUCGGUUAAGUGACUUAAAAUUUUUGCUUGAUUUUCGAACGUAUUUAAAUCGUUUACGUACGUUUGAGAUAUCGAAUGCUUAUUAGGUUCGGUCAUCCUCAUGACUCGCGCCUAUAAUUUUUCCAUUAAUUGCCUCCAAAUCAGGUAAGAUAACCACUU
Molecule: unclassified non-coding RNA, 295 nt
Filed under: Glomeraceae sp.
Lineage: Eukaryota; Fungi; Glomeromycota; Glomeromycetes; Glomerales; Glomeraceae
Description: partial contains 5.8S ribosomal RNA and internal transcribed spacer 2
Rfam family: 5.8S ribosomal RNA (bases 1-71)
Source: RNAcentral